GCCCGCCUAGCUCAAUCGGCUAGAGCGUCAGACUUUUACGAACAGUGAAACAUCUGAAGGCUGCGAGUUCGACCCUCGCGGUGGGCU
Molecule: non-coding RNA, 87 nt
Organism: Schizophyllum commune H4-8
Lineage: Eukaryota; Fungi; Basidiomycota; Agaricomycetes; Agaricales; Schizophyllaceae
Source: Rfam